Molecule: ribosomal RNA, 484 nt
Filed under: uncultured bacterium
Lineage: Bacteria
Description: partial 16S ribosomal RNA
Rfam family: Bacterial small subunit ribosomal RNA
Source: RNAcentral
GACGAACGCUGGCGGCGUGCUUAACACAUGCAAGUCGAACGGAAAGGCCCUGCUUUUGUGGGGUGCUCGGGUGGCGAACGGGUGAGUAACACGUGAGUAACCUGCCCUUGACUUUGGGAUAGCUUCAGGAAACUGGGGCUAAUACCGGAUAGGAGCUCCUGCUGCAUGGUGGGGGUUGGCAAGAUUCGGCGGUUGGGGAUGGACGCGCGGCUUAUCAGCUUGUUGGUGGGGUAGUGGCUUACCAAGGCUUUGACGGGUAGCCGGCCUGAGAGGGUGACCGGCCACAUUGGGACUGAGAUACGGCCCAGACUCCUACGGGAGGCAGCAGUGGGGAAUAUUGCACAAUGGGCGGAAGCCUGAUGCAGCAACGCCGCGUGCGGGAUGACGGCCUUCGGGUUGUAAACCGCUUUCGCCUGUGACGAAGCGUGAGUGACGGUAAUGGGUAAAGAAGCACCGGCUAACUACGUGCCAGCCGCCGCCGUAA